CAUAGAGAUUCUUACCAAGAGAAAAAGUAUGACCCAUUUCUGCAUGGUAACGUUCUAUGAAAAAAUCUAUCUUUGGCUCAGCAAUAGGAAUUUCCCACUUCAUACCAAAAAAUGAAACUCGACACAAUUUUGCACCUAAGAGAAGAAGUGCCUGUGACAUAGCAGAAAUGGGAAUAUUGACCUGGUUUCUACUUAAAGUCAAACUGUUAGAAUUAAUUGUUAAUGCUAAACCAAAAUCAGUUUGUAAGACUUUUAAAAGUUGAUUUUUAAAGUUUUCUC
RNAcentral lists this long non-coding RNA (279 nucleotides) under Physcomitrium patens. RNAcentral's name for it is "long non-coding RNA (PPAT_LNC003245)". The record is from RNAcentral. Lineage: Eukaryota; Viridiplantae; Streptophyta; Bryopsida; Funariales; Funariaceae.